This 75-nucleotide antisense RNA is filed under the name Streptomyces griseus. Its description in RNAcentral is "ASpks TB sRNA". It matches the Rfam family "ASpks TB sRNA". RNAcentral also lists the same sequence under 1 other name. The record is from RNAcentral. Lineage: Bacteria; Bacillati; Actinomycetota; Actinomycetes; Kitasatosporales; Streptomycetaceae.
CUUCAGCGACCCCAGCCAGAUCGGCCGGUCGGCCGGCCGGUUCUGCCCGUACGUCGCCAGCAGCGCCUGCGCCUC